GAUGAACGCUGGCGGCGUGCUUAACACGUGCAAGUCGAACGAAGCACCUGAUCAGAUUUCUUCGGAUUGAUGAUUUUGUGACUGAGUGGCGGACGGGUGAGUAACGCGUGGGUAACCUGCCCCAGACCGGGAGAUUAAUACCGCAUAAGAUUGUAGUACCGCAUGGUACAGCAAUUAAAGGAGCAAUCCGCUAUGAGAUGGGCCCGCGGCGCAUUAGCUAGUUGGUGGGGUAACGGCCUACCAAGGCGACGAUCAGUAGCCGGUCUGAGAGGAUGAACGGCCACAUUGGAACUGAGACACGGUCCAGACUCCUACGGGAGGCAGCAGUGGGGAAUAUUGCACAAUGGGGGAAACCCUGAUGCAGCAACGCCGCGUGAGUGAUGACGGUCUUCGGAUUGUAAAGCUCUGUCUUUAGGGACGAUAAUGACGGUACCUAAGGAGGAAGCCACGGCUAACUACGUG
Molecule: ribosomal RNA, 462 nt
Filed under: uncultured bacterium
Lineage: Bacteria
Description: bacterial SSU rRNA
Rfam family: Bacterial small subunit ribosomal RNA
Source: RNAcentral